CCUGGGGCUUGGACCCAGGAAACGUCCCUGUCGGAGAGGUGAAGGGAGUGAGUCUGGGCUUUUGGGAGGCCAUUCCACCCUCAGCACCUGAAUUUGGGGAGCUUGGAGGACAGAGUUAGAAGAAACCACUCAGGACCCAUUUGGAAGAGUAUCACCUAGAACAUUUUCUAAAAUCCUCAAAACCCAAGACAAUAUUACCGGUGAAGCUGCCCUCAAGAAGUCC
RNAcentral lists this long non-coding RNA (223 nucleotides) under Felis catus (domestic cat). RNAcentral's name for it is "lncRNA (ENSFCAG00000049924.1)". The record is from RNAcentral. Lineage: Eukaryota; Metazoa; Chordata; Mammalia; Carnivora; Felidae.